This 253-nucleotide ribosomal RNA is filed under the name uncultured bacterium. RNAcentral describes it as "partial 16S ribosomal RNA". It matches the Rfam family "Bacterial small subunit ribosomal RNA", at positions 524 to 776 of the family's 1533-position model. The record is from RNAcentral.
UACGGAGGGUGCGAGCGUUGUCCGGAAUCACUGGGCGUAAAGGGCGCGUAGGCGGCUGGGGAAGUCGGCGGUGAAAGCCCGGAGCUCAACUCCGGGUCGGCCGUCGAGACUCCUCGGCUCAAGCUCACUAGAGGCAGAUGGAAUUCCGGGUGUAGCGGUGGAAUGCGUAGAGAUCCGGAAGAACACCGGUGGCGAAGGCGGUCUGCUGGGGUGAGGCUGACGCUGAUGCGCGACAGCGUGGGGAGCAAACAGG